ACAAAUUUUCAAUAUCCCAAACAAAUAGUAAAUUAAAACCCAGCUAGCUUACUAAUAAAUGAAAAUACUCUAAUUACCUUUACGUUCUACUAAGGACAUAAAUAUAAUUUUCCUUCUUUAUCCAAUAAAACAAGUAACUUGCAAAAGUUGCACUAAUUAAUAGAAUUUCCUUAUUUUAAUUGCUUUACGUCAAGAGAUUGAAUUUAUUCACAUUCGUUGUCAUCUCAAACUAAGCCCCAUGAUCCUUUAUCAACUCUUAUUCCCAAUCAUUACUAUUUUCCAACUAGAUGCUAUCAAAUUACAUAAGUCAAAAUUUUCUUAUCUCUCUCUCCAGUAGAAAGUCUAUCUUUCUUUCUGAAUAUAAAUACUAAGUUCUUUCAUCAUCGGGAUUACAAUCCUUAAAUCAUUUAUCUAUUUGUAUAUCACCAGACAUUCAAUAACUUCCUACCUUUGAUCUCUUUUUAGAAUAUGAAUUUACUAUAUAUGAACCACAAAAUUCUCGAAACUCACCUUGCAAGGACCCGAUUAACUCACCUCAUAAGGUUGGUUAUAACAUUAUCAAUUAUUUGUUUAAUAUUUUAUUAGAGUUAGCACCGAUAGUGAUAAAUUAUUUUAAACCUCAAAGCCAUUUUCCUACCUUCAAUAGUGUACAUGUUCCAUCAUUCUACCUUUAAUAAUAUUUCACUUCUUUUUGUCUAACUACAUAUUCUUAAUUACUUGUUCUAAAGCUUUUUUUUUUUAUUUAAUUACAUCAUAAAAUUACUAUUCAUGAUCAUUUAAUUUUCUUAACAUUCACUUUCUCUCUAUACUCCAAGAGAUAACAAGAACUUGUUUAAUUAUACAAACAUUAUUCUCCUCUAUUCUUUAUAUUCAAAUUAUGUUCAAAUUAAUUCAAAUUAUAUUCAAGCUAUAAUUUUCCUAAUAUAAUUAUCAUCGAAUAUAAUAGCAUUUCAAUCUCAAAACCACUAAUUUCCUUUGCUAUCUUUUACUUUUAUUUUAUUAUACUUGGUCCAUAAGCUUAGUCUGGCUUAUUAAACAUCCUACGUGUACUAGGAUCUUAAUUAUAUUACACACGAAUCCAUAACUCUUUCAUGACUUGUAAACCACAAUUUUUCUACUCUCAUGAAAUCCCAAAAUAUAGAAGUCUUUAUCUUAAAUCCGCUGAUGUAUCAUUAUUCCUAUUUUCAUCGAAUCUUGUUACCCAUAAGCCCUAAUUUAUUAAACCUCUAAAUACUGACUAUCCUCAUUUAAAUCAUAUUAAUUUAUACUCUUCACGUUUCUAUAAUUGAUUCUUUUCUUAAUAUCCAUACAAUAACAUGACUAGAUCCAACCUUACUUAUCUAAUUUAGUAUAACAUCAAUUCAAUAAUUGGACAAUUAUCUCUCCAUGUCCGAUGUCAUUCAUCAAUACCCUUAAUCAUCAUAGUCCACUAUUUACAUAAUUCCCUACAUUCAUACACUUGAAACGAAAUAGCUGAAGAAUGCUACAAUACACUUUGUCCCACCAAGCAGUAAUUACUCAUAAAUAAAACUCUCUCUUCAUAUAAUAAUUCCACCAAUAUUGUUUCUUAUGAAAUAUACUCAUCACCAUUUAUUAUAGCAAAUCACACCAAAUCCUUCAAUAUUUAAACCUUAUAAAAAUCAUUUAUAUACUUACACCAAUUAAUAUAUCUAUUCCAUCCAGAAAAAUAUUUAUCACAAUAAGUAUAAUAAAUUCCACCAACCAACAUCAGGUAAAUUUCAUCAAAUACAUAUACUGAUUCAACAGUCUAAUUAAAUAGAUUCUAAUGUCCUCGAAUCCGAAUCAUUUAGUUCUCUUGUUAAAUAAUUAGCAACUCAUUCUCAAUUCCGCAAGCACACCUAUACACACAUUCAUGCAUUCUUAAAUAUGUAUUCCACAUUCAACACAUAUUAAAUAAAAAUAGCACACUUUCAUCAUCUAACUUCAACUUAUUAAUCCUAUAUAACUUAUCUUCUUACCUACUUAAAUUAUAUAUGAAUAUUAUUUAUUCCAUAGAAGGAUUCUAGUUUAAGUUUAAACCAUCCCCUUAGCAUCAUUAGCUAAAUCACAUCUCUAAAGGACAAGGAUACAAAUUUUAAUCAUUAAACAACUUGACUUUAACAUGAC
RNAcentral lists this long non-coding RNA (2127 nucleotides) under Jatropha curcas. RNAcentral describes it as "long non-coding RNA (JCUR_LNC001529)". Lineage: Eukaryota; Viridiplantae; Streptophyta; Magnoliopsida; Malpighiales; Euphorbiaceae. The record is from RNAcentral.